GACGAACGCUGGCGGCGUGCUUAACACAUGCAAGUCGAACGGUGAAGCGCCUUCCUUUUUGGUGGGUGUGGAUGAGUGGCGAACGGGUGAGUAACACGUGAGUAACCUGCCCCCUUCUUCUGGAUAACCGCAUGAAAGUGUGGCUAAUACGGGAUAUUCUGGGUCUGUCGCAUGAUGGGUCUGGGAAAGAUAUUGUUUCGGUGGGGGAUGGGCUCGCGGCCUAUCAGCUUGUUGGUGGGGUGAUGGCCUACCAAGGCGGUGACGGGUAGCCGGCCUGAGAGGGUGGACGGUCACACUGGGACUGCAACACGGCCCAGACUGCUACGGGAGGCAGCAGUGGGGAAUAUUGCACAAUGGGCGCAAGCCUGAUGCAGCGACGCCGCGUGAGGGAUGGAGGCCUUCGGGUUGUGAACCUCUUUCGCCAGUGAAGCAGGCCUGCCUCGUUUGUGGGUGGGUUGACGGUAGCUUGAUAAGAAGCGCCGGCUAACUACGUG
This 494-nucleotide ribosomal RNA is filed under the name uncultured bacterium. RNAcentral's name for it is "partial 16S ribosomal RNA". It matches the Rfam family "Bacterial small subunit ribosomal RNA", at positions 28 to 507 of the family's 1533-position model. The record is from RNAcentral.